This is a long non-coding RNA of Grammomys surdaster, 653 nucleotides long. RefSeq lists it as uncharacterized. Lineage: Eukaryota; Metazoa; Chordata; Mammalia; Rodentia; Muridae. The record is from RefSeq and is a predicted model, not a curated record. The transcript has 2 exons.
GACAAAGAUAUUUGGGCAAAAGAUAUGGUCUUGUACAUUAGAAUUUGUACAAACUACCUCUUGAAAUAAUUGCCCAUUCCCAGAUCCACUGGUUUCCAAGAUCCUUUGCAGCCCUAGAGAUUACAGGCUAUUAUUGGUUACUAGCUGCUGCAUCUGUACCUUCACAGGUCUAUUCCUUGUGUUUCUACAAUUUACUACUAUAACUUCUUCAUUUAAUCUUUUUCACAAGAGGAAAGUACUCAUCAGUAAUAUGAGUGUUUUUAAACAUUUCAAACACUGAUGCAAAAUGUAACAAAAUAUCCAGUUUGGCUAUUAGUACAGGCUCAGUGUUCCUGUUGACCCCUUUCAGUCUUUUUUUCUACCCCUCCCCAGUCCUCUGAGACUCGGCUGACCAGAGACCCUCUCUCCAGCAAGGACCCACAGCUGACACUGAAGGCUAGUACUCAGGUACAUAGUGACCUGUUCCGCCCUGUUUCUUUUGUGAACUCUUCACCCAGCCAAUAUCCUGUUCUGAAGAACAUCUGCAUUCCACCUGAGAUCACCUGUGCUCCCCAGAAACAAAGAAGACCCUACAUCAUCCCCCUUACCAUAUCCUGCUUCUUUGUGUAUAUAACCCUCAUGUGGAAAAAUUAAAAUUUGACAGCUUCACCAGA